CGUGGAUCGAUUUGUCUGGUUUAUUCCGAUAACGAGCGAGACUCUAGCCUACUAAAUAGUAACGGAAUUACUAUUGUUCCAGUUGCUUCUUAGAGGGAUUUUCGGUGUUUAGCCGCACGAGAUUGAGCAAUAACAGGUCUGUGAUGCCCUUAGAUGUCCGGGGCUGCACGCGCGCUACACUGGCGAAAUCAGCGUGCUGUAUCCAUUCUCGAAAGGGAUUGGUAAACCCAUGAAAAUUUGCCGUGCUUGGGAUCGGAAAUUGCAAUUAUUUUCCGUGAACGAGGAAUUCCAAGUAAGUGCGAGUCAUCAACUCGCUCUGAAUACGUCCCUGCCCUUUGUAC
Molecule: ribosomal RNA, 341 nt
Filed under: Nematoda environmental sample
Lineage: Eukaryota; Metazoa; Nematoda
Description: SSU rRNA
Rfam family: Eukaryotic small subunit ribosomal RNA
Source: RNAcentral